Molecule: ribosomal RNA, 266 nt
Filed under: uncultured Eubacteriales bacterium
Lineage: Bacteria; Bacillati; Bacillota; Clostridia; Eubacteriales
Description: uncultured Clostridiales bacterium partial 16S ribosomal RNA
Rfam family: Bacterial small subunit ribosomal RNA
Source: RNAcentral
UUGCUCUUUUUCAGAAUUGAGUGGCAAACGGGUGAGUAACGCGUGGGUAACCUGCCCUGUACAGGGGGACAACAGCUGGAAACGGCUGCUAAUACCGCAUAAGCCCUUAGCACUGCAUGGUGCAUAGGGAAAAGGAGCAAUCCGGUACAGGAUGGACCCGCGUCUGAUUAGCCAGUUGGCAGGGUAACGGCCUACCAAAGCGACGAUCAGUAGCCGAUCUGAGAGGAUGUACGGCCACAUUGGGACUGAGACACGGCCCAGACUCC